RNAcentral lists this long non-coding RNA (2933 nucleotides) under Malus domestica (apple). RNAcentral's name for it is "long non-coding RNA (MDOM_LNC020513)". The record is from RNAcentral. Lineage: Eukaryota; Viridiplantae; Streptophyta; Magnoliopsida; Rosales; Rosaceae.
GAAAAUGGCUGAUUUGCAAUGCAAGGCAAAGGUCUUCUAGAAAGGUUCUAGGCGCCAUUUUUGUAGGAAAGGAUUAGGUUUUCUAGAAAUCUGAUUUUAAGCAUCCUAAUAUAGCUAGGAAUCCUCCCAAGUAGCUGAAAUAUAGGUGGAUUAAGAUUAGGAUAAGAUAGGAUAGGAUUGGAUAGGAUAGGGUUUGGAUAAUGUUUUGGAUAAGGUGUCUUCACUUGAGCUGAUUCUUUGGCUUUAACUUCCCUUCUUCAAGUAGGAAACCUUGUUUAAGUAGGAAACUUCAAUCUUCUAGGAAUCCAACUUCACUUAGGAAUCAUUCUUCAACUAGGAAUCCUUCUUCAACUAGGAAUCCAUGCUUGACUAGGAUUUCAUCUUCAAUUAAGCACUUUCCCACUUCAAUUAGGAAACUUUGCAUCUUCAAGUCUUCAACUUUGAAACACAUUCCUAGCUCAUCAAUCCUUCAAAUUCGUCCAUUCUUUGUGCUCCACAUGCAUGAGCUCCAUUCUAGCUCAAUUUUGCUCCAAAAUGCUCCAAAUUGCAUCUUUUUGCUUACUUUGUCCUUAAAACCUGAAAACACAUGAAAAUAGCUUAAAAUACUAACUUAACUAAGAAAACACAACAUAAAUGCAUAAGAACUAACUAACUAAGGCGCAUAAAUAUGCUCCUAUCAUUAGGCUCAUCUUUUCGAUCUUGAGUGAAGAAAGCUGUUCUUCCAAUCUCUUGAUCUUAGAAUCAACCACUGCGAUCAUAUCUUCCAUCACUGAUCCUUCUUCCACCAACUAUUGAAGAGUGGCUGAGGUCUGCGUGUGUUUUUCUUGGAAGCAUCUAACUCUGUUGGAUGCCCGCUCUGCCUUCUGAUGCUGAUCCCUCAGUGCCCGCAGAUUCUCAAAGAAACUAAGAAAGGACUCGUAUUGAGCCUUUGACAGUAACUGUGCUUUGUAGAGCUCGGUGAGGGCCUUCACAGCGUCAUGAAGAAUUUUAAGACUAAAAGAGGCAGUGAAGUCCCUUUUCAUCCAAUCUUUGAAGAUUUGACGAGCAUUUCUGAGGAGAGGAGACUCGGAUGAAGGCGAAGGUGAAUGCAACUUGGUCUUGAUUUGCCUGAACUUCUUGACAAGCUCGGGCAAAGAUGUUGCUGAACAAGUAGAUGACAGAGGUGAGGGCACUUCUUUAACGCCUUCAGCAGUAGCAAAUGGGGUAUCCUCAGUUAGCUGAGAAGAAAGGAUAUCAGGAGCAUGAGCAGAAAUGGAAGUUGUAGCAGCAGUUUCGACUUUCUUCUUAGGCUUAAAGAUAGGGAUCGUUGUGACCCCAGAAGUUAGAGGAGGACGGGGAAGAUAUCUCUUAUGUACCAAGAGCAGUGGAGAUUUACUCGAACCUUCCUCAGAACCCUGUUGCAACCAAGGGAGAUAAGUUAAGAAAAGAGUUUAUAAUUCAAAAUAGAGGAAGGUGAGACAAGAGAAGUCAAUAUACCUGAGUUGACCUCAGAACCUUGGAAGGAGAUGCAGGAGAAGUUGUUUCUUUUAGAUGAAGGGAUAAUCCCCGAGCUCUCACCAGAGGCAUAUAAACAUAAAAAAAGACAAGUGUUAGGAAAAUAGUUUGCAGAAAAUAAAAAGCAAAAGUUUAAAUAAUAAAUAUACCUGAGGUUGAGAGAUGGGCACUUCGGAAGCAACAACUACAUUAGGAGAAGCUGACUGAGAAGCUUGUGGGCUAGUUGCCUUUGAGACCAUAGGGAUCUCAGGGACUACGGGCUCCCCAAAGGCAGAUGCUACUGGUUAAUGAGGUUUUGUGCUGGGGAAGGCUAAAAAAGAAAAAAAUGGCAAAAAAAGAUAAGUAUAGUAGAAGAAAGGAACUCUAAACAUAAAAAGGACAAGAUAAGUACUCACUGGAUUACUAUCAUCUUCUACAAAGUGUAACAUCUCCCUAGUUGACAGGUCAAACUGGGAAGUAGGAGUCACCACUAGGGGAUGAGAGGUUGAAGGAAUAAAAGAAAAACCUUGCCCUACCUGAGAAGCAGACUCUCCAACCUUAGCCUACAAAAGUAAAAUACAAGUGUUAAAGCUUUGACAUUGGUAAAGAUACAAGUCUAAGGAAUGAAAAAGAGAUAUACUUUUGAAGACUUAGCCCAAGGAGGGGAAGCUUAUACCAUUCGAGCUGGAGGUGAAAAGGCUUUAGGUGGAGAAAUCCUUUCUUCCCUUAUGGCCUGUUUUUCGUGAUCGGGCAGAAAGUUAAGAAAAGGAAGAAGUUAAAGGAAUAGGCUCGAGAAGCAAGCCAUACCUCUAGUGCUUCCAGGGUGGAAUCUUGCAGAUUUUUGGCCUGUUGAUACAUCUUGUCCCCCAGAGGAUCCUCUCUUGAGACAACAGUCGGCUUCUUGGUUGUUUAAGGACUUAGAUUAGAAGAAAAUGGAGUUUUUAGCUCUCAAUACGAAAAUGCAAGUAAGAAAGGAGGGUUGAAACAAGAUUCACUUACUGGAAGCCUUAUGUUUCUUCCUGCCCGCCUCAGUUAUUGAAGCGGAAGGCUGAGGGGCUUUGGAUGCCUGUGCCCUUAUUCUCUUCUUUGUUGGGACUGCCCGCGAACCAGGAAUGGAGAGUUGAGCUCAAGGUCGUUUUUCGGGCUCAGACUCUAAAGUCUCCACUAUCGUUGCCCAAGUCCUCCGAGUUGUCCGAGGCUCCACUACAAUCUCUACCUCACCCUCCGAGUCUCCAAGUAACUCGGAGACAUCUCUGCCCUCUCUAGCACCUUGCCCUUCUACCUUAGCUACGACUUCUUGGAGGAUGAAGACGUCUGCUGCAUCUUUAUCUUGCUCGACGACCAUCUCUGCAGGGUUGCCUUGGGCUGCAAGUACAAAGAAACCAAGGAAAUAAUUAGAGAUAACAUAUUCAUGAGAAUUUCAAGUUAAAGGAGUAAGAAAUACCUAUCAUAAGGAGUUG